This 484-nucleotide ribosomal RNA is filed under the name uncultured bacterium. RNAcentral's name for it is "partial 16S ribosomal RNA". It matches the Rfam family "Bacterial small subunit ribosomal RNA", at positions 30 to 507 of the family's 1533-position model. The record is from RNAcentral.
AUUGAACGCUGGCGGCAGGCCUAACACAUGCAAGUCGAGCGGAUGAAGGGAGCUUGCUCCUGGAUUCAGCGGCGGACGGGUGAGUAAUGCCUAGGAAUCUGCCUGGUAGUGGGGGAUAACGUCCGGAAACGGGCGCUAAUACCGCAUACGUCCUGAGGGAGAAAGUGGGGGAUCUUCGGACCUCACGCUAUCAGAUGAGCCUAGGUCGGAUUAGCUAGUUGGUGGGGUAAAGGCCUACCAAGGCGACGAUCCGUAACUGGUCUGAGAGGAUGAUCAGUCACACUGGAACUGAGACACGGUCCAGACUCCUACGGGAGGCAGCAGUGGGGAAUAUUGGACAAUGGGCGAAAGCCUGAUCCAGCCAUGCCGCGUGUGUGAAGAAGGUCUUCGCAUUGUAAAGCACUUUAAGUUGGGAGGAAGGGCAGUAAGUUAAUACCUUGCUGUUUUGACGUUACCAACAGAAUAAGCACCGGCUAACUUCGUG